RNAcentral lists this ribosomal RNA (253 nucleotides) under uncultured bacterium. RNAcentral describes it as "partial 16S ribosomal RNA". It matches the Rfam family "Bacterial small subunit ribosomal RNA", at positions 524 to 776 of the family's 1533-position model. The record is from RNAcentral.
UACGUAGGGGGCGAGCGUUGUCCGAAGUUACUGGGCGUAAAGCGUGCGCAGGCGGCUUCGCAAGUCAGGCGUGAAAUCCCCGGGCUUAACCUGGGAAUGGCGUCUGAAACUACGGAGCUGGAGUGUGGCAGAGGGAGGUAGAAUUCCACGUGUAGCGGUGAAAUGCGUAGAUAUGUGGAGGAAUACCGAUGGCGAAGGCAGCCUCCUGGGCCAACACUGACGCUCAUGCACGAAAGCGUGGGGAGCAAACAGG